This 510-nucleotide long non-coding RNA is filed under the name Vigna radiata. Its description in RNAcentral is "long non-coding RNA (VRAD_LNC007091)". Lineage: Eukaryota; Viridiplantae; Streptophyta; Magnoliopsida; Fabales; Fabaceae. The record is from RNAcentral.
CUGUUUUUCAGUUGGUACAUUUUAGCAAUGUGUACCGGGUUUCAGUAGACAAAAAUACCCUUAUAUAUAAUGAAUUCUAAGUUUUAAGGUCAAGGGUAUUUUGAUAAUUUUCAUUCUCAAAAUUAAAAAAAAAAUAAAAAAAGAAACCCCAAACCAUUACCCAAUUUUCAUUCUCAAAACUAAAAAAAAAAAAACAAACCCUUAGUCACCUCCUUCAUUCCUCUCAACCCUUUCUCCUUAAUCUUUCUCACUCAAACAUUUUCUCUGUCAUCUCUGCACUAGUCCCAACUAAAAAAACACUCAUUAUUAAACGAUUUACUUUUGUAAAGAGUUGAGUCAUUGACAUAUUCACCUUCCGAAAAAAGUUCAUUCAAAAUCUCUUUAAUUUCAUUAUCUUCACUAUAUAUAUUACAGCCAACGGGCACAACUUGCACCAAGACUUAUGAGCAUCCUUUCUUUACAUUCUGAGACUACUACGUAACAUUGUUCCGUGGCCAUUUAUUUUUUUUG